This 87-nucleotide transfer RNA is filed under the name Chloroflexota bacterium. RNAcentral describes it as "Chloroflexi bacterium tRNA-Ser". It matches the Rfam family "tRNA". Rfam says of the family: Transfer RNA (tRNA) molecules are approximately 80 nucleotides in length. Their secondary structure includes four short double-helical elements and three loops (D, anti-codon, and T loops). Further hydrogen bonds mediate the characteristic L-shaped molecular structure. tRNAs have two regions of fundamental functional importance: the anti-codon, which is responsible for specific mRNA codon recognition, and the 3' end, to which the tRNAs corresponding amino acid is attached (by aminoacyl-tRNA synthetases). tRNAs cope with the degeneracy of the genetic code in two manners: having more than one tRNA (with a specific anti-codon) for a particular amino acid; and 'wobble' base-pairing, i.e. permitting non-standard base-pairing at the 3rd anti-codon position. Lineage: Bacteria; Bacillati; Chloroflexota. The record is from RNAcentral.
GGAGAGGUCGCAUAGUGGCCUAGUGCAGGUGUUUGCUAAACACCCAGGGUGUAACAACCCUCGAGAGUUCGAAUCUCUCCCUCUCCG